RNAcentral lists this microRNA precursor (57 nucleotides) under Bos taurus (domestic cattle). The record is from RNAcentral. Lineage: Eukaryota; Metazoa; Chordata; Mammalia; Artiodactyla; Bovidae.
AGGUUGUCCGUGGUGAGUUCGCAUUAUUUAAUGAUGCCCAAUACGCGGUCGAUCUCU